CUACCCUUGACAUGUAUGGAACCUGGCUGAGAGGUCGGGGUGCCCGAAAGGGAGCCAUAACACAGGUGCUGCAUGGCUGUCGUCAGCUCGUGUCGUGAGAUGUUGGGUUAAGUCCCGCAACGAGCGCAACCCUUGUCCCUAGUUGCUACGCAAGAGCACUCUAGGGAGACUGCCGGUGACAAACCGGAGGAAGGUGGGGAUGACGUCAAGUCCUCAUGGCCCUUAUGGGUAGGGCUUCACACGUCAUACAAUGGUCGGAACAGAGGGUCGCCAAUCCGCGAGGGGGAGCCAAUCCCAGAAAACCGAUCGUAGUCCGGAUCGCACUCUGCAACUCGAGUGCGUGAAGCUGGAAUCGCUAGUAAUCGCGGAUCAGCAUGCCGCGGUGAAUACGUUCCC
RNAcentral lists this ribosomal RNA (396 nucleotides) under uncultured bacterium. RNAcentral describes it as "bacterial SSU rRNA". It matches the Rfam family "Bacterial small subunit ribosomal RNA", at positions 975 to 1375 of the family's 1533-position model. The record is from RNAcentral.